Molecule: ribosomal RNA, 993 nt
Filed under: Lacticaseibacillus casei
Lineage: Bacteria; Bacillati; Bacillota; Bacilli; Lactobacillales; Lactobacillaceae
Description: bacterial SSU rRNA
Rfam family: Bacterial small subunit ribosomal RNA
Source: RNAcentral
UCCAGCAGCCGCGGUAAUACGUAGGUGGCAAGCGUUAUCCGGAUUUAUUGGGCGUAAAGCGAGCGCAGGCGGUUUUUUAAGUCUGAUGUGAAAGCCCUCGGCUUAACCGAGGAAGCGCAUCGGAAACUGGGAAACUUGAGUGCAGAAGAGGACAGUGGAACUCCAUGUGUAGCGGUGAAAUGCGUAGAUAUAUGGAAGAACACCAGUGGCGAAGGCGGCUGUCUGGUCUGUAACUGACGCUGAGGCUCGAAAGCAUGGGUAGCGAACAGGAUUAGAUACCCUGGUAGUCCAUGCCGUAAACGAUGAAUGCUAGGUGUUGGAGGGUUUCCGCCCUUCAGUGCCGCAGCUAACGCAUUAAGCAUUCCGCCUGGGGAGUACGACCGCAAGGUUGAAACUCAAAGGAAUUGACGGGGGCCCGCACAAGCGGUGGAGCAUGUGGUUUAAUUCGAAGCAACGCGAAGAACCUUACCAGGUCUUGACAUCUUUUGAUCACCUGAGAGAUCAGGUUUCCCCUUCGGGGGCAAAAUGACAGGUGGUGCAUGGUUGUCGUCAGCUCGUGUCGUGAGAUGUUGGGUUAAGUCCCGCAACGAGCGCAACCCUUAUGACUAGUUGCCAGCAUUUAGUUGGGCACUCUAGUAAGACUGCCGGUGACAAACCGGAGGAAGGUGGGGAUGACGUCAAAUCAUCAUGCCCCUUAUGACCUGGGCUACACACGUGCUACAAUGGAUGGUACAACGAGUUGCGAGACCGCGAGGUCAAGCUAAUCUCUUAAAGCCAUUCUCAGUUCGGACUGUAGGCUGCAACUCGCCUACACGAAGUCGGAAUCGCUAGUAAUCGCGGAUCAGCACGCCGCGGUGAAUACGUUCCCGGGCCUUGUACACACCGCCCGUCACACCAUGAGAGUUUGUAACACCCGAAGCCGGUGGCGUAACCCUUUUAGGGAGCGAGCCGUCUAAGGUGGGACAAAUGAUUAGGGUGAAGUCGUAACAAGGU